This 73-nucleotide transfer RNA is filed under the name Gammaproteobacteria bacterium. RNAcentral describes it as "tRNA-Lys". It matches the Rfam family "tRNA". Rfam says of the family: Transfer RNA (tRNA) molecules are approximately 80 nucleotides in length. Their secondary structure includes four short double-helical elements and three loops (D, anti-codon, and T loops). The record is from RNAcentral. Lineage: Bacteria; Pseudomonadati; Pseudomonadota; Gammaproteobacteria.
GGGCCGUUAGCUCAGUCGGUAGAGCAGCGGGCUUUUAACCCGUUGGUCCUGCGUUCGAAUCGCAGACGGCCCA